GCCGCGGCCGGCGCAGCCGACGGUCGGUCGGCCGGGCGCUGUCACCUGUCGCGUCACACCGGCGCAGAAGACCGCCCCCAGCGUGGUCAGCGUGACGCGCAAGGACUCGGCCACCACGACCGAGGCCGCGUCGCGCCAGAUGACCGCCGACGCCGGAUGGAGGAGCCGGCAGCAGCCCGUGGUUAAAGGGUUCCGCUCUGCCGACGUGCCCGCCUCGGCGGUGAUUCCACCGCCUCCACCGCCACCUGCGCCAGUGCUGCCUCCAGCGGCCAACGGGCGAACCAGACUGAACAAGACGUCGGCCAGCCGGCCGGCCGUGCCCAAACUGGACCCGCGCGAGGAGCUGAUGAUCGCCAUUCGAGAGCACGGCGGGCUCAAGAAGAUGCGCAGCGUUCGGCCCUGAGACGUGACCAAGUGCAAUGUAGCGUGAUGCUGAGCUGGCGACACACCGCUGGCUGACGCGGAGCCCGACUGACCAACCGGCGACUUUGAUUGGUCGCCGGCGCGUCCUGCUCGCGAGCCUCCGACUCUGAUUAGCUGAGCGCGGGCGGCCUGUGACGUCUCACCGUGGCCAGCAGACGGCGGGCCGGCUGAGGCCAUGACGCCCUCCGCUCGCGCCUGUCGCGCAAGCGAGCUGGCGCGCCAGCGCCGUUCGCCGUCGAAGCCGCUCACAGACGGCGGCACGCGCCGCGCCGCCCCACCCCACCCGACUCGACCAGUGCCUAGACUCGCUAGUUAUCCCGCUGUAGUCAUGCCUGCAAGUGCCCGGACCCGGAAACGCGUGUCCACGCUCUGUCCACGGAGGUGCUGCUGUGAGCGCGUGCAUAAUGUCCACGUGCGCCGGCCGGCUGCGGCCGCGCUGCGACGCGUCGCUCCCCUCCCCGGCGGCCGCCAUGCGGUCGCCGGCGCAGACGACGCCCCUUCCCCCUGCGUCGGCCACCGCCCCUUGUUACGCAUAAUGCUCUGCCGGAGUCUGCCUGCGCUCGCACGCCGGCGUCAGCCCACAGCCUUCCGCCUGUACUUAGGUUUAUGUGAUACCUGUUUAGCCAGUUGAUCGCCCCCGUGCGGGUGUUGAUGAGGUGUAUGGAGCCGGGCUGCGGGACGGCGACUGCUCCUGACCUGACCUGACUGGCCUGACCCGACCUCGCUGCCUGGCCCGCCUCCGCGUUGUCCUGUAACUCUGUUAUACAAUCACUAAUCUAGUGUUAUUGCAACGUAUAUGCGCCAAGCCAUAAUGAAUAUA
Molecule: long non-coding RNA, 1243 nt
Organism: Pollicipes pollicipes
Lineage: Eukaryota; Metazoa; Arthropoda; Thecostraca; Pollicipedomorpha; Pollicipedidae
Exons: 3
Source: RefSeq, a predicted model, not a curated record